This is a long non-coding RNA of Gambusia affinis (western mosquitofish), 1423 nucleotides long. RefSeq lists it as uncharacterized. The record is from RefSeq and is a predicted model, not a curated record. Lineage: Eukaryota; Metazoa; Chordata; Actinopteri; Cyprinodontiformes; Poeciliidae. The transcript has 3 exons.
AAAACCUCAGGUGAAAACCUCAAAUAGAAAUAUUUCAGCAGGUGGGAACAGACGAGAUAAUGGCGUAAGCAGUAACGAGGAGGUGACCUACGCAGAUGUCAGGUUUUCUAAGAACAAGAAACCUGUUCAAGCCCAGUGGGAAUCAGAAAACCCCUCAUCAACCUAUGCUGACAUCAGGAUCAACAGAAACUAAAGCACUCUUCCCUGCAUGCAACCAAACAGGCUGGCUGUCUGGUGUUAACUAAAUCCUGCUAAAACUUGACAUUUCUUUAAGCAAAAAUCAACAAUGACAGAGCUGGCUGAAACUUGAUUGUUGGGGUGCUUUAACAUAUUUAAGCAUUAGUUUACUAAAGUCUGUCACCUUAUUUAUAAUGAUUAACUAACUCCAGCUUUUACUGGCAACAGAAAGCAGAAGGCAGAAUAUUUCCCCCUUUUCAUUUUAUGAUGUUCAUAAAUGCAAAGUGAUCAGCAAUCUUCUCUUUAUCAGUCAAAUCAUUCAAAUUUUAUUUGUGUAGCACAUUUCAGCAGCAAGGCAUUUCAAAGUGCUUUACAUCAAAUCAAACACAAAAACACAACACAACAUAGAAUCAACAAUCAAAACAGAACAUCAAGUCAGAUUCCGUCAUUUAAUUUGUAAUUGAUUACGUUUUAUCUUACUCCUCCAAAUAUGUUUCAUGGUGUAUGUGUGUUUACUACUACUUUUUUCUUAUGUGAAAAUGGUAUUUAAGGAAAUUAAGAAAACAUUUUCUCCCAGUUAAACAUUCUCAAGCAUAUUUGAAGUUAUAUAAGCCUUUAUUCCUUGUAUGGAACAGACCUGCUGUAAAUAAAAUAGGUUGUAGAUGAUGUCUGAUACCAAGACUGAUUGAACUUUUGAAACCCUUCCAGAAGCCUGAACCUCAACUCUAUUUAAAAUUCAUGGAAUAUCCAGACCAGAUGAACUUGAACAAUAUGAUUAAAGUUAAAAGAAGGAAAUGUUUGACACAGGAAUGUAAAGUUAAAUUGCUUAUUUUUAAUAGGAACAUUAAGAAAUUCAGUCUUCCAGAAUCUGCUGUUGGCUUUUUCUUUGUAGCCACUGGAUCAUCUCCAGGUUUUAAGUGGACUCAAAGUCCAGCAAGCUGCUGACCAAAUCAUUGUCAGGAUUCUGAGAUCAUUUGUCACUUUCUGAAUUUAUUAGAAAUGAUUUACAAUGCAGAGCUUGAUAGGAGUUGUUGCCACCUAGAGUUUUACAACCACUGGUUGUGUUGGCAGGCAAUAAUUUUUUCACACAAGACCAAAAAGAGAUGCAGCUUUUUCUUCUUGACAAAUAAAAUGAUCAUUAGUGAACAUGUUUCUGUUUACUGAAGUUAUCUUUGUCUAAGAAUAAUAUUUGUUUGAUGAGCUGAAGCAUUUAAGUGUAUCAAAAAAGCAAAAACAAAAUAAAUAU